CAGAAAUUAGUUUAUAGAAAAUUUUUCAUUUACAUUGAAUUGAUUUUAGUGCAAAUCUUAAAUUUCUGA
RNAcentral lists this transfer RNA (69 nucleotides) under Micadina phluctainoides. Its description in RNAcentral is "tRNA-Val". It matches the Rfam family "tRNA". Rfam says of the family: Transfer RNA (tRNA) molecules are approximately 80 nucleotides in length. Their secondary structure includes four short double-helical elements and three loops (D, anti-codon, and T loops). The record is from RNAcentral. Lineage: Eukaryota; Metazoa; Arthropoda; Insecta; Phasmatodea; Lonchodidae.